GAUGAACGCUAGCGGCAGGCCUAAUACAUGCAAGUCGGACGGGAUUGAGAAGCUUGCUUUUCAUGAGAGUGGCGCACGGGUGCGUAACACGUAUGUAACCUACCUUAAUCAGGGGGAUAGCCUCUCGAAAGAGAGAUUAACACCGCAUAAAAUCAAUUUAUGGCACCAUAGACUGAUCAAAUAUCUAUAGGAAUAAGAUGGGCAUGCGGAACAUUAGCUAGUUGGUAAGGUAACGGCUUACCAAGGCUACGAUGUUUAGGGGAUCUGAGAGGAUGACCCCCCACACUGGUACUGAGACACGGACCAGACUCCUACGGGAGGCAGCAGUAAGGAAUAUUGGUCAAUGGGCGCAAGCCUGAACCAGCCAUGCCGCGUGCAGGAAGACGGCCCUACGGGUUGUAAACUGCUUUUGUACCGGAAUAAACCUUUGUAUGUAUACGAAGCUGAAUGUACGGUAAGAAUAAGGAUCGGCUAACUCCGUGCCAGCCGCCGCCGUAA
This 498-nucleotide ribosomal RNA is filed under the name uncultured bacterium. RNAcentral describes it as "partial 16S ribosomal RNA". It matches the Rfam family "Bacterial small subunit ribosomal RNA", at positions 28 to 523 of the family's 1533-position model. The record is from RNAcentral.